GAUUGGCGGGGGCGCGGGCGGGCGGCACGUCUCGCUCCCCGUUACCCAGCGGUGCUUUGCGCUGGGCCGCAGCUAGGCCGCGCUGCGGGCGGGAUGGCGGUGGCGGUGCGCGCGCUGCAGGAGCAGCUGGAGAAGGCCAAGGAAAGCCUCAAGCACGUGGACGAGAACAUCCGCAAGCUCACGGGCCGGGACCCCAACGAUGUCAGGCCCCCUCAAAGCAGGCUGUUACCCAUCGCAGGCCCUGGUGGAGGUAGAGGCCGCGGUAGUUUACUGCUGAGGCGUGGAUUCUCGGAUAGCGGAGGAGGACCCCCAGCCAAACAGAGGGAUCUUGAAGGGGCAACCAGUAGGCUGGGUGGAGAACGUCGGACAAGAAGAGAAUCACGCCAUGAAAGCGACGCAGAGGAUGAAGAUGUUAAAAAGCCGGCGUUGCAGUCUUCCGUUGUUGCUACCUCCAAAGAGCGAACACGUCGAGACCUUAUUCAGGAUCAAAAUAUGGAUGAGAAGGGAAAACAAAGGAAUCGACGUAUAUUUGGCUUGUUGAUGGGUACUUUGCAGAAAUUUAAACAAGAGUCCACAGUUGCUACUGAAAGGCAAAAGAGGCGUCAAGAAAUUGAGCAAAAGCUUGAAGUGCAGGCGGAGGAGGAGAGAAAGCAAGUUGAAAAUGAGAGGCGAGAAUUGUUUGAAGAAAGACGUGCUAAACAGACAGAAUUGCGGCUAUUGGAACAAAAGGUCGAACUUGCUCAGUUGCAAGAAGAAUGGAAUGAACAUAAUGCCAAAAUAAUUAAAUAUAUACGAACCAGGACAAGGCCCCAUCUGUUCUACAUACCUGGCCGGAUGUGUGCCGCUACACAAAAGCUAAUGGAAGAGUCGCAGAAAAAGUUGAAUGCACUGUUUGAAAAUAGACGCAAUGAAUUUGCAGAGCAAAUUAACAAAAUGGAGGCCAGACCCAGAAGACAAUCUGUGAAGGAAAAAGAACAGCAGGAGGUGCAGAAUGAAGAAAAGAAGGAAGAACAGAACAAGGAGCAGGAAGAGGGUAAGGUGGCUCAGCAGGUGGAAGAGUUGGAGACAGGUAACCAGAACAAUGAUGUAGAAAUGGAGGAGGUAGGGGAGGACAGAGGAAAAGCAGGUGCAGGUUAUAGUGAUGCAGAGAGAGAGCAGGAGGAGGAGGAACAGAAACAUGAAAUGCAGGUUAAAGCAGAAGAGGCAACUGAGGUGUUAGAGAAUGACAGGCAGCAGGAUAGUCAGCAGGAAGAGGUUCUGAUCGUGAAAAUGGAAGGUGACAGGAUUCAGUCAGUGGAUAAUGAGCAAGACAUGGUGGAAGUUAAUGAGGCAGAUAGUGUAGAACAUUUAGAAAAUGAAAAUGGCAAAGUUGACCUAGAAAUUGAGUGUGAUGCUCAGCCAGAGAAAGUGUGUGACACUCCUUCCCCUGAGAAGGAGAAAGCUAACAAACCAGAAACUGACGCUGAACCUGAAGAGAAAUGGGGAAAGGAAUCUGAAGCCCACCCUGAGACUGAGGUUCAUCCUCAGCCAGAGGCUGUGCCACUGCCACAGCCACCUCCAUUGUCUCAGUCCAUUCAGGAUCAAGAGCCUCAGACGGAAAAGGAUGAAGCCACUGUGGUGUCUGUAAAGGUGGUUGAGGCACAGACAGAUCAAAUUCAGGCAACAGGUAUAGAAAUUAAAAGUAAGACCAGGAGUAGAAGCAGGGGUAGGACACGGAACAAAUCUAGCAAGAGUCGAAGUCGUAGUAGCAGUAGUAGUACUAGCAGUAGUAGUUCAACCAGCAGUAGUAGUGGAAGUAGCUCUAGCAGUGGCAGCAGUAGUAGUCGCAGUAGUUCUAGCAGUAGUAGUAGCACUACUGGGAGUAGCAGCAGAGACAGUAGCAGCAGUAGUAGUAGCAGCAGUGAGAGCAGAAGUCGAAGCAGAGGAAGGGGUCAUAAUAGGGACAGAAAGCGCAGGAGGAGCGUGGAUAGGAAGCGAAGGGAUACUUCAGGACAAGAUAGAAGUCACAAGUCUUCAAAAGGUAGUAGCAGAGAUGCAAAAGGCUCAAAGGAUAAAAGUUCAAGGUCUGACAGAAAGAGGUCUAUAUCAGAAAGUAGUCGGUCAGGCAAAAGAACUUCGCGGAGUGAAAGAGACCGUAAAUCAGACAGGAAAGACAAAAGGCGUUAACAGAAGAGACCAGGCUUCCCUAGCCUAAUCUUUGCAGCAGAAGAUUAUUUGAGUAAAAGGAUUCCUUAUGAGGAGGAGGAGAAGGCUGCCUUAACAAUUGCAUGCUGUAAAAAAUCUUUUGGAAAAAUGCAGACUGUUUACCAGACACUCUUGUACUUUUUACAUAAUUUUGUAAAGGGUAACUUAUCAAAAUUAUGUGAAGUCCCCUCUUCCCAAAAUGUAAGAAAAAUAAAACAAUUAACCCCCCUUUGCAUUUUUUAAAUACCCUGUACUCAUUAAGAUUCUCUGUAUAUUUUAAUAGGUAAAUCUUUUAAGUUGGUGUGAUCACUUCUACUUCUGUACCAUACAUUUUUUUUUUUGUAGAAAUAAAUGUGCAUUUUAAAUAAAAUGUUUGAGAUGUCGUGUUGACACUUAACUUCCCUUUAGCUCUACAUAUUGGCAGCUGCUUACAAAGAUGCUGCCUUUUGUAAUUUUCUUCCUGCUCCUUUUUUUUCCCCUCUACCAUUUGUAGGGGUAUGAAUUAUUUGGUAUAGUUCCUUUUGCUUUCUUCUCUACACCAACUCAUUCUAGCUUGACUUUUUUUCUCAUUUUACAAACCUGUUUUUGUGACCUCUGCGUUGAGCAGUAGUUACCUCAAAAUGCUAAUAUUGACAGCUUAUGUCAGAAUCUGGAAUGCUACUCUUAUCUGCCUUCUGCAGGUGCUUGGGUAAUGUUUACAGCUAUGUUCUGGAGACAGUAUAUCUGUUUAGUGAUGUUCCUUACUUUCCUGGCCAGUGGUGGGAAGACCUCCGCUCACUUCUCAACUGGGAGUUUUUUGUUAUAUUAGCCACAAAUUAAUUUUUGAUCCUGGUGUGCAACUAGGUAUAAUUAUACUGCAGUGUUAUCUGGGACUAAUACCAGUCUUGUGUGUGUGCAAGAAUGCUUUUUGAAUGUAUUUGAUAGAGAGGUGUGAAAGUUCCAAAUAAAGCAGUAUGGUGUAUCAAGGUCAUGAUUGUUUUAUAAUUUUGUAUGGAAAUAACAACAUACCUUUUGGCUUGUUCUGUACAUGUGCAAAUAAAUGUGGCUUUGUAGACUA
Gavialis gangeticus (Gharial) is the source of this 3241-nucleotide RNA transcript. It is a transcript of the gene named pinin, desmosome associated protein, with no coding region annotated. The transcript has 10 exons. The record is from RefSeq and is a predicted model, not a curated record. Lineage: Eukaryota; Metazoa; Chordata; Crocodylia; Gavialidae.